Molecule: ribosomal RNA, 482 nt
Filed under: Guimaraesiella sp. IZGAS 14_J0859
Lineage: Eukaryota; Metazoa; Arthropoda; Insecta; Psocodea; Philopteridae
Also listed under: 1 other name
Description: partial large subunit ribosomal RNA
Rfam family: Bacterial large subunit ribosomal RNA
Source: RNAcentral
CUCUUCUUGAACGAAUAAGAAGUAGGAUCUGCUCCAUGCAAAUCGUAAAUUGCCGCAGUAUUUUGACUGUGCUAAGGUAGCAAAAUAAUUUGGCUCUUCAUUGGAGUCUGGAAUGAAUGAUUUGACAAAGUCUAUUCUGUCUCAUCUAUAAAAAUAGAAAUUGGAUUGUUUGUAAAAAUACAAAUAUAAAAGAGAGGGACGAAAAGACCCUAUAGAUCUUUACUCCUCUUUGUCUAUUAUUCUUUAAAGAUUUAGACGGGAGGAGUUUACUUGGGAUAAGUCUAAAAAGCGAAUUUUGGUAAUAGGAAAAGAUAGAUUGAUCAAAAAGAUGAUAAAAUAAAAGAUAAGUUACCUUAGGGAUAACAGGAUAAUUUCUUUGCUUAGAACUUAUAAGCAAAGGAGUUUAUUACCUCGAUGUUGAAUUAAGUUACCUUUCACUAGGAGAAGAGUGAAAAGUCAGUCUGUUCGACUGUUGAAAACUU